AAUCUAAAAUGGAAUGAAAAGGUUGUGGAUAUAUAUCAUGACGUCAACGUGACUAAUCCCAGGCGUAAAAUUUGUAAUGAAACCGCUGCGAAAACUUUCGAUUCGCCACUGUGCAUAUCAAUAAAAAAUAAAAGCUGGCAAGCAACUUUCUGCGAAAUGCUUUCCAAAUCCCCCGACAACUUGUGGGCAGAUUAAAAUGUAAAUUCUUUAGCAGCCUUCGAGGUGUUGGUACGUUGGUGUGUUGGUGUGUUGGUUUUUCAUUUCUACUUUUUAUACUUUUCACACUUUUGUUUUUCUUUUUGUUUUUCGCCCCCCGAGUGUGUGUGUGUGUGUGUUUAUUCCCCCGAGCAUUUCACGGUGCACUUGAGCCGCCCGGCUAGGAAUCCUUCAUUAACUUUGAAUGGAAUGAAAACACUCGAGUCGGCAGUGAGUUGCGUUUGCGGCCCUUCACAUCUUAAUUAAGCUCUUGGGAGCAACUCCACGGAUUCCGGUUAUUCCAGUGAUUCCCCGCCCGCCACUCUGUGCACAAUCUCAGGCAAAGGUGAGGCCACAUACUCCUGUUGAUACCCCUUCUCCGGCCCAUCAUUACCGGCCUCAAAAGCCAAGAGGAAGCCCAGCCCAAGACCAAGACCAAGAGCUAAACCAAGACCAUCCGGCAGCGGAUGCGCCGACAUUUAAGCCAACGGAAGUGAAAAGACAAAACAAAAUGGCUGCUCAUGCACAAGCGGGUGCGCCAUUUUCCAGUUCAUGCCCAUGUGCCACUAUUAGUGGUAUUAGUGGGUCCCAUUUUUUUAUGGUUCGGGGCCAGCUCUAUUUGCCAGCGGUUUAUUUUUAAAUGAACCGGCUAUGAAUAGGGCUCUAGUUUGCGAGGGGCUGCGGCAAAUGAAUGCUAAUGCGAAUAAUGGCGGGCUUCUGCAGAUUGCUAGACAGCUGGAUACCCAACUAGAAAUGGAAUUCAUAUCUCAAGUGGUGCCAUAAAAGUACUAGUCCUUGUGCUUCGAAUGGUAUUUCGCAGUAAUAAGCUUUGAAUGAGUCGCACAGCUGGUGACUUUUUGGCCAUUCCAUCUGCAGCGUAUUACUUAUGCAUUAAGAGCGGUCCCUCAUCAAUCGACCCCGUCGUACCCUCUACUCGCAGUCUGCCAAGGGGAAAGCCAUAUGCCGCAGCAUCAGCAGUCCACAAAGCUACGCUUACGUCUUUUUCCCAGAUGAGUUUUAUUUGGUUUUCGCUUCCGUGGCCAACAGCAGCAACAGCAGCAACAGCAGCAGCGGGCAAAUUCUGUGAAAGUGUUGACAAAGUGGCUGGGGGGUGGUGGCGUGGCUACCGUGGACCAUGUCCGUGACCCGAGGCCAACCUUUGAUGGCCAGAGUGCCACCAAAAAGCGAUUACCGAAUGGCCAGAGCCGGUCGGGCAUAUUUCACCCGUAGGAAGGGCCUAAAAUCUGACUACAAAUUGCACAUGUCAGACGAGUCAAGGGGGCCCACAUUAAACAGCCAACAGCCAACGCUGCAAUAGAGCCAGCAUUUAUAAUUAACCGAACUGGGCCGAGCCAGAACACAUCGCAGACAGGCCAUUUAAGUUUCGGAUGAGAAAACUAGAUGAGUAAACUAGAAGGGAUGAGUGCGAGGCACGAACGCCAGCACAGUGGCUUAAAAGCUUUUGAGCGAAUGGCCCAGGAAAUUGUAUAAAGCAUUCCUGUCUGAAGGACAUAACAUCGCUUUAAGGCGUGCAGCUUCCAGGGAGUUUAUUAAAAAGGAAAUAAGUUCGUUCAAGGUAAAAACUGAAGUAAAAUAUAAGAUAUGAAUAAGGCAGCCUUGUUUCGGAACAGUCUUUAUACAAAGCGUGUUAUUUCUUCCAACAUCGCUAGCUAAAUUUCCAGGUUCAGAAGAAAAUGUAUAAAUUUAUUAAGCUGACUUAAUUACGUUUUAAUUGCCAAUUCUGGCCUUGUGCCACUGAAGGGCUGUAUAUUCCUAAGAGCUCAUAACGAAGAAAAAUAAAAUUUUGUACUUGCGCA
Molecule: long non-coding RNA, 2012 nt
Organism: Drosophila yakuba
Lineage: Eukaryota; Metazoa; Arthropoda; Insecta; Diptera; Drosophilidae
Exons: 2
Source: RefSeq, a predicted model, not a curated record